AUUCCAGCUCCAAUAGCGUAUAUUAAAGUUGUUGCAGUUAAAAAGCUCGUAGUUGGAUCUCAGGUCCAGGCUCGAGGUCCACCUCGCGGUGGCUACUUCCUGUCCUGACCUACCAUCCGGUUUUCCCUUGGUGCUCUUGAUUGAGUGUCUCGGGUGGCCAGAACGUUUACUUUGAAAAAAUUAGAGUGUUCAAAGCAGGCGCUUCGCCUGAAUAAUGGUGCAUGGAAUAAUGGAACAGGACCUCGGUUCUAUUUUGUUGGUUUUCGGAAGUCGAGGUAAUGAUUAAGAGGGACAGACGGGGGCAUUCGUAUUACGGUGUUAGAGGUGAAAUUCUUGGAUCGCCGUAAGACGAACUACUGCGAAAGCAUUUGCCAAGAAUGUUUUCAUCG
This 389-nucleotide ribosomal RNA is filed under the name Polyplacophora sp. RNAcentral describes it as "partial small subunit ribosomal RNA". It matches the Rfam family "Eukaryotic small subunit ribosomal RNA", at positions 582 to 975 of the family's 1831-position model. The record is from RNAcentral. Lineage: Eukaryota; Metazoa; Mollusca; Polyplacophora.